This 672-nucleotide long non-coding RNA is filed under the name Salmo salar (Atlantic salmon). RNAcentral describes it as "lncRNA (ENSSSAG00000082568.1, ENSSSAG00000115288.1)". The record is from RNAcentral. Lineage: Eukaryota; Metazoa; Chordata; Actinopteri; Salmoniformes; Salmonidae.
ACAAAUACGAGCGUUUCUGCAUUUCACUGUCAGAUCCCAUAAACGUCUGCAGCGGCAUCAACACCAAGCCCAGCACCAGGAACUAAUACGAAUCCUGCUGCUGCUAAUGAUGAUGAACUUGACACCAGCUUGAGUAGUACAGAUCCUGUAGACCCAUUGGAUGAAAGCUUUCAGCCAGGAAUAAGCUCAACAUCAUCUGACUCGGAAGAGGAAAAGACUGCACGCGGCUGGCAUGAUCCAAAGUGUAUAGUCUACGAGUCCAAGGUCAUGGAGCUCAUGAAGUUCUGCCAGACCAUCUGCCAUUGCCCAACACAAGAUGAGGUUCACCAGCUAAAGAACAUUCAGGACGCUGCCUGGAACAUUCAGCCAACACAACAUCCAUAUUCAGUUAGACUGAUGUUGUAGUAUAAUAAAGAAUGUCUAGUAUACUCACAACUACUUUGUGGUAUAGAUAUUUCUUGUACAUAUGUAUAUCAUGGAGUUUGAUCAAUUGUUUUAUGUAAUAUUUUUUACAAGUGUACUGACAAGUGACUCAAUGAUUUCAACUGCAUCAAAAACCAAUAAAUUGUUGACUUCCACUUCUGGAUCAAUUCAUUGUGAUAUUCAUUAAAUGUACAAUACCGUUGAAACGUUUGGGGUCACUUAGAAAUGUCCUUGUUUUUGAAAGAAAAG